This 48-nucleotide non-coding RNA is filed under the name Schistosoma mansoni. The record is from RNAcentral. Lineage: Eukaryota; Metazoa; Platyhelminthes; Trematoda; Strigeidida; Schistosomatidae.
AUCCAGUUGACGAGUCCCAAAUAGGACGGAACGCGUGUCGAACUGGAU